UGGGGAAUUGUUCGCAAUGGGCGCAAGCCUGACGACGCAACGCCGCGUGGAGGAUGAAGAUCUUCGGGUCGUAAACUCCUUUCGAUCGAGACGAAUGGCUUCCGGGUGAACAAUCCGGAGGAAUGACGGUACCGAGAGAAGAAGCCCCGGCUAACUCCGUGCCAGCAGCCGCGGUAAUACGGGGGGGGCAAGCGUUGUUCGGAAUUACUGGGCGUAAAGGGCUCGUAGGCGGCCAACUAAGUCAGACGUGAAAUCCCUCGGCUUAACCGGGGAACUGCGUCUGAUACUGGAUGGCUUGAGUCCGGGAGAGGGAUGCGGAAUUCCAGGUGUAGCGGUGAAAUGCGUAGAUAUCUGGAGGAACACCGGUGGCGAAGGGCGGCAUCCUGGACCGGCACUGACGCCGAUGAGCGAAAGCCAGGGGAGCAAACGGGAUUAGAUACCCGGUAGUCCUGGCCCUAAACGAUGAAUGCUUGGUGUGGCGGGUA
RNAcentral lists this ribosomal RNA (485 nucleotides) under uncultured Acidobacteriota bacterium. RNAcentral's name for it is "bacterial SSU rRNA". It matches the Rfam family "Bacterial small subunit ribosomal RNA", at positions 355 to 831 of the family's 1533-position model. Lineage: Bacteria; Pseudomonadati; Acidobacteriota. The record is from RNAcentral.